GGAAGGUCGGCGUGGACGGAGCCCUCGCCAACCCGGUCAGGCCCGGAAGGGAGCAGCCGUAACGAGUAAGAUCCGGGUCAUGUCCGGCCUUCCACC
RNAcentral lists this signal recognition particle RNA (96 nucleotides) under Insolitispirillum peregrinum. RNAcentral's name for it is "Insolitospirillum peregrinum Bacterial small signal recognition particle RNA". It matches the Rfam family "Bacterial small signal recognition particle RNA". Rfam says of the family: The signal recognition particle (SRP) is a universally conserved ribonucleoprotein involved in the co-translational targeting of proteins to membranes. Lineage: Bacteria; Pseudomonadati; Pseudomonadota; Alphaproteobacteria; Rhodospirillales; Novispirillaceae. The record is from Rfam by way of RNAcentral.